RNAcentral lists this small RNA (28 nucleotides) under Bombyx mori (domestic silkworm). Its description in RNAcentral is "ovarian small RNA-11034". The record is from RNAcentral. Lineage: Eukaryota; Metazoa; Arthropoda; Insecta; Lepidoptera; Bombycidae.
ACACGCCUUGCCUCCCGCCCGGUGGUUU